This 61-nucleotide microRNA precursor is filed under the name Pristionchus pacificus. Its description in RNAcentral is "mir-8364 microRNA precursor family". It matches the Rfam family "mir-8364 microRNA precursor family". The record is from Rfam by way of RNAcentral. Lineage: Eukaryota; Metazoa; Nematoda; Chromadorea; Rhabditida; Neodiplogasteridae.
UCUUCAUUUCACGUGCUCUCUCACCGGUCAGAGUGACGAAAGAGUGUAAAAAAUGAAGAGA